RNAcentral lists this transfer-messenger RNA (332 nucleotides) under human gut metagenome. RNAcentral's name for it is "Alphaproteobacteria transfer-messenger RNA". It matches the Rfam family "Alphaproteobacteria transfer-messenger RNA". From Rfam's summary of the family: Bacterial tmRNA, also known as 10Sa RNA or SsrA, is named for its dual tRNA and mRNA-like properties. The record is from RNAcentral. RNAcentral also lists the same sequence under 1 other name.
AUUUUUGAAAACAGCUGUUAUAAUCAUAGGCAGUUUGCGGCAAUACCGCAGGCUCUGAUACGAAAAGCCGUAUGAAAUAGAUAUAUUGGACCCGGGGGCGGUACCCGGCACCUCCACCAGUUUUUACGGGGGUGAAACAGGUUUGACAGUGUAUAGUAAAGAUAUGUGGGCUGUAUUCGGCAAGAUACCACCGUUAUCGGUUCAAAUCAAAUAAACGCAAAUGAUAAUUUUGCACCUGUUGCCGUAGCUGCAUAAGGCAAAGCAACAAAAUCAAUUCUUCAGGCUAUGGUUAGCCCGGAGUGGGGAAGGAGCCGCCCAGCAACAGAACGGCU